Molecule: ribosomal RNA, 301 nt
Filed under: uncultured bacterium
Lineage: Bacteria
Description: partial 16S ribosomal RNA
Rfam family: Bacterial small subunit ribosomal RNA
Source: RNAcentral
CAGUCGCCGCGGUAACACAGAGGGUGCAAGCGUUAAUCGGAAUUACUGGGCGUAAAGCGCGCGUAGGUGGUUUGUUAAGUUGGAUGUGAAAUCCCCGGGCUCAACCUGGGAACUGCAUCCAAAACUGGCAAGCUAGAGUAUGGUAGAGGGUGGUGGAAUUUCCUGUGUAGCGGUGAAAUGCGUAGAUAUAGGAAGGAACACCAGUGGCGAAGGCGACCACCUGGACUGAUACUGACACUGAGGUGCGAAAGCGUGGGGAGCAAACAGGAUUAGAUACCCCCGUAGUCCCUGUCUCUUAUAC